RNAcentral lists this non-coding RNA (28 nucleotides) under Mus musculus (house mouse). Lineage: Eukaryota; Metazoa; Chordata; Mammalia; Rodentia; Muridae. The record is from RNAcentral.
GGGAAGAGACUUCAGGUGACAUUGAAAU